GACGAACGCUGGCGGCGUGCCUAAUACAUGCAAGUCGAACGAGAGCGACCGGUGCUUGCACUGGUCAAUCUAGUGGCGAACGGGUGAGUAACACGUGGGUAACCUGCCCAUCAGAGGGAGAUAACAUCCGGAAACGGAUGCUAAAACCGCAUAGGUCUUCGAGCCGCAUGGCUUGAAGAGGAAAAGAGGCGCAAGCUUCUGCUGAUGGAUGGACCCGCGGUGCAUUAGCUAGUUGGUGAGGUAACGGCUCACCAAGGCCGUGAUGCAUAGCCGACCUGAGAGGGUGAUCGGCCACAUUGGGACUGAGACACGGCCCAAACUCCUACGGGAGGCAGCAGUAGGGAAUCUUCCGCAAUGGACGCAAGUCUGACGGAGCAACGCCGCGUGAGUGAAGAAGGUUUUCGGAUCGUAAAACUCUGUUGUUAGAGAAGAACAAGUGCUAGAGUAACUGUUAGCGCCUUGACGGUAUCUAACCAGAAAGCCACGGCUAACUACGUG
RNAcentral lists this ribosomal RNA (498 nucleotides) under uncultured bacterium. RNAcentral's name for it is "partial 16S ribosomal RNA". It matches the Rfam family "Bacterial small subunit ribosomal RNA", at positions 28 to 507 of the family's 1533-position model. The record is from RNAcentral.